UAGAGUUUGAUCCUGGCUCAGGAUGAACGCUGGCUGUGUGCCUAAUACAUGCAUGUCGAGCGAAGGUAGCAAUACCUUAGCGGCGAAUGGGUGAGUAACACGUACUCAACGUACCCUUCAGUUUGGGAUAGCGGGUGGAAACAUCCGAUAAUACCAAAUACUUAUUGUUUUCGCAUGAAAAUAAUAGAAAAGGAGCGAUUGCUUCGCUGGAGGAUCGGGGUGCGCAACAUUAGCUAGUUGGUGAGGUAACGGCCCACCAAGGCGAUGAUGUUUAGCGGGGUUGAGAGACUGAACCGCCACACUGGGACUGAGAUACGGCCCAGACUCCUACGGGAGGCAGCAGUAGGGAAUUUUCCACAAUGAGCGAAAGCUUGAUGGAGCGACACAGCGUGCAGGAUGAAGGCCCUAUGGGUUGUAAACUGCUGUGGUAAGUGAAGAAAAAGUAGUGUAGGAAAUGACAUUACCUUGACGGUAGCUUAUUAGAAAGCAACGGCUAACUAUGUGCCAGCAGCCGCGGUAAUACAUAGGUUGCAAGCGUUAUCCGGAAUUAUUGGGCGUAAAGCGUCUGUAGGUUGUUUGUUAAGUCUGGCGUUAAAUUUUGGGGCUCAACCCCAAACCGCGUUGGAUACUGGCAAGCUAGAGUUAUGUAGAGGUUAGCGGAAUUCCUUGUGAAGCGGUGAAAUGCGUAGAUAUAAGGAAGAACACCAAAAUGGCGAAGGCAGCUAACUGGGCAUACACUGACACUGAGAGACGAAAGCGUGGGGAGCAAACAGGAUUAGAUACCCUGGUAGUCCACGCCCUAAACGAUGAUCAUUAGCUGAUGGGGAACUCAUCGGCGCASUAACGCAUUAAAUGAUCCGCCUGAGUAGUACGUUCGCAAGAAUAAAACUUAAAGGAAUUGACGGGGAUCCGCACAAGCGGUGGAGCAUGUGGUUUAAUUUGAAGAUACGCGUAGAACCUUACCCACUCUUGACAUCUUCUGCAAAGCUAUGGAGACAUAGUGGAGGUUAACAGAAUGACAGAUGGUGCAUGGUUGUCGUCAGCUCGUGUCGUGAGAUGUUCGGUUAAGUCCUGCAACGAGCGCAACCCUUGUCCUUAGUUACUAACAUUAAGUUGAGCACUCUAAGGAGACUGCCCGAGUAAUUGGGAGGAAGGUGGGGAUGACGUCAAAUCAUCAUGCCUCUUACGAGUGGGGCAACACACGUGCUACAAUGGCCGAUACAAAGAGAAGCAAGAUGGUGACAUGGAGCAAACCUCAAAAAGUCGGUCUCAGUUCGGAUUGAAGUCUGCAACUCGACUUCAUGAAGUCGGAAUCGCUAGUAAUCGUAGAUCASUACGCUACGGUGAAUACGUUCUCGGGUCUUGUACACACCGCCCGUCACACCAUGGGAGCUGGUAAUGCCCGAAGUCGGUUUAUAAACAAACUGCCUAAGGCAGGACUGGUGACUGGGGUUAAGUCGUAACAAGGUAUCCCUACGAGAACGUGGGGAUGGAUCACCUCCUUU
This 1505-nucleotide ribosomal RNA is filed under the name Mycoplasmopsis opalescens. RNAcentral describes it as "bacterial SSU rRNA". It matches the Rfam family "Bacterial small subunit ribosomal RNA". Lineage: Bacteria; Bacillati; Mycoplasmatota; Mycoplasmoidales; Metamycoplasmataceae. The record is from RNAcentral.